GGUUCCUAUGGGGAAGAGUGGGGAAAUAGCUAACUCCAUGUUUACUGUGAUAUUGCAGGGCCUUUUAGAACCAGCUAGUACCUUCUAAUUAAUGAGGUGAAUAUGGCAACUUAAACAUUGAAACUCAGCAAGAAGUUACAUCAAUCAAGGUUUAACCAGAGAAGAAUCUAUAGAAUCAAUACAUCAAUAAAUGGAAUUUAUUUUAAGGAAUUGUCCUAUAAGUUUGUGGGGCUAGAAGCCCAGAAGAAAAGAUCACAGGGUGGAAGAAUCAAUGGGAAGAAAUGGUGUUCAGUCUGCUACUGCAAUAGUAACAACAGGGCUAGAGUCAUGGACAUGGAAUUCUUGAAGGAAACUGGAAGUGAGGGGCUGACUCUAGAACACUGGAUGUAAAAUACCCACUGCUGGAAUUCUGAAGUGGAGAAAAGGAAAAAUACAAUUGUCUACCACCAGUAUUUUCAUUGACCAAACCCUGUUGUAAACUAGAUGAUAAAGUCUAAGAAAUUGAAUCUGCUCACAGAUAAAAUCAGGUCAGCAUGAAGGACCUCACCCAUUAGACUGAAAAAUAAGCAACUUUUCUUGGCUUCAUAAGGUACCAGAAGAAAGAAAGCACUGUUGCCCCAAGAUUGGAAAGACAGGCAGAUAGAGCCAGACUCAUAAGCAGAAAUUGGGAACCAGUGCUGAACAGGAAAACCUUGACUGUUGUUGAAUUACUGGAGCUUGUACGGAAAACCGAAGUUUAAAAAAGAAAAUACAGGGGGAAUCGGUAUUGUGAGAUAAACCUAUGUAAGCUUAACCAGAUUUCCACAAUAAAUAUUGGAGAAAAAUUCCCUUAGACUUCCCACAGUGAAAGGGGGGAAAGGAAUGAUCUUGAAACAUGGCCAGAGCAUUUUGUUCUGUUAUUCUUAACUAGUUUCCCCUGAAGGAGGGCCCUGAAAACUAAAAUCGGCCGCUGGUGUAUUAUUAGAACCUAACUGACCUGGGGAACGGAAAUACCCAAUUCCAGCCCAUUCUAGUCAAAUUGUUCCACCUAAAAGAAGGAAAAAAAUCUGAGAAUCAUUUGCAAAAUUCAGUCCAGAGGCCCAUGGAAAGAGUUAAUCAUAGCAGUAUAGAAUGUUCAUCCUCCCUUAAAACCACAUCACUAAAUGGCUAUGUAUAGCAUUUCCUUUUACCUGAUACCUCAUGUUUAUCAAGAAAAAAAGUGACUGUUUUACAAUAUAUACUAAUGUUGAAUUAUAUUGUUUACGUGAAACUAAACUGUUAUAUGUCAACUGUACCAAAAUGGGAAAAAAAAAAAAACACAACACAAUUUCAGCAGCAUUUCCAAUUAACAAGUCUGUUGCCCCCUUGAUUAAGUUUAUUUCUACAUAUUUUAUUGAUGCUACUGUAAAUAAAA
Long non-coding RNA from Talpa occidentalis (Iberian mole), 1393 nucleotides. RefSeq lists it as uncharacterized. NCBI's taxonomy places the organism in Eukaryota, Metazoa, Chordata, Mammalia, Eulipotyphla, Talpidae. The record is from RefSeq and is a predicted model, not a curated record. The transcript has 4 exons.